This is a long non-coding RNA of Daucus carota subsp. sativus, 437 nucleotides long. RefSeq lists it as uncharacterized. The record is from RefSeq and is a predicted model, not a curated record. Lineage: Eukaryota; Viridiplantae; Streptophyta; Magnoliopsida; Apiales; Apiaceae. The transcript has 4 exons.
UAACUUUCCUAAAUUAUACUAACAUUCCUCACCCUCUUUCUCUUCCACAGGAUGAGUCCUUCCUGUUUGAAGAUAAGCUGCAGAGUCUAGCUUCGAAAACCGUUCAGGGAUGCUACAAGAAGAAUGAAUUUGUCCUGUGCGUGUUAAAGUGUUAAUUACAAUCAUCUCAACCUAGAUAAUUUCAGUUCAUUUAAAUCUGAAUUCGGAAGCACUACAGGAAGAAGGAGGAAAGCUGAGCCUCCUAAACCAGACAAAGAGAAUGUGGCACCUGUUCAGAUUAAUACUCUAUCAGGCUCUGGCACUCUCAAUUCUACACAGAAUGCAGGGAUUCAUACUGCUACUACUACCACUCCACAUUCUCAGACCUGUCACCGUACGCUCUCAAGUACUCAAUCCAUUCCUAUCAGUAAUGCUGUCACACCUCUUUCUAAUAUAUC